UUUCGGAUCGUAAAGCUCUGUUGUAAGAGAAGAACGAGUGUGAGAGUGGAAAGUUCACACUGUGACGGUAUCUUACCAGAAAGGGACGGCUAACUACGUGCCAGCAGCCGCGGUAAUACGUAGGUCCCGAGCGUUGUCCGGAUUUAUUGGGCGUAAAGCGAGCGCAGGCGGUUAGAUAAGUCUGAAGUUAAAGGCUGUGGCUUAACCAUAGUACGCUUUGGAAACUGUUUAACUUGAGUGCAAGAGGGGAGAGUGGAAUUCCAUGUGUAGCGGUGAAAUGCGUAGAUAUAUGGAGGAACACCGGUGGCGAAAGCGGCUCUCUGGCUUGUAACUGACGCUGAGGCUCGAAAGCGUGGGGAGCAAACAGGAUUAGAUACCCUGGUAGUCCACGCCGUAAACGAUGAGUGCUAGGUGUUAGACCCUUUCCGGGGUUUAGUGCCGCAGCUAACGCAUUAAGCACUCCGCCUGGGGAGUACGACCGCAAGGUUGAAACUCAAAGG
RNAcentral lists this ribosomal RNA (500 nucleotides) under uncultured bacterium. RNAcentral describes it as "bacterial SSU rRNA". It matches the Rfam family "Bacterial small subunit ribosomal RNA", at positions 416 to 907 of the family's 1533-position model. The record is from RNAcentral.